This 81-nucleotide transfer RNA is filed under the name Pseudomonas oryzae. It matches the Rfam family "tRNA". Rfam says of the family: Transfer RNA (tRNA) molecules are approximately 80 nucleotides in length. Their secondary structure includes four short double-helical elements and three loops (D, anti-codon, and T loops). Lineage: Bacteria; Pseudomonadati; Pseudomonadota; Gammaproteobacteria; Pseudomonadales; Pseudomonadaceae. The record is from Rfam by way of RNAcentral.
GCCCCGAUGGUGAAAUGGUAAACACCGUCGACUUAAAAUCGACCGCCUUUUGGCUUGCCGGUUCGAGUCCGGCUCGGGGCA